CUGUCCGGCAGAGGGACCUCCGUAUCUGCGGCGUCUUUUAAGUUAAAAAUCAAGAGGAUCCUAGUGUUUUUUGUUCUCGGCAGGGCGUUGAUACGAGACCCUUCAUUUUCAAGAUUGAUUUGAGGAUUACAAAGAUCGAAUCACAGUUGGAUCGUGCUCGUGGAGAAGCGGUUUUGUUCUUCUCAAGUGAAAGCCGAAGGAUUAAAAGCUCGAUGCGGGAGAGAAACCAGGACCAACGUCUUGGAAACUACCACCACCAUCUGGGGAUCCUCCUUUUUGGGACGCAUCCUGAGAAAAACUAAAUCGCAAUACUGUAUAGAAUUGUGAUGUCAAAACUGGAAAAUAGAAACUGCUGAGAAAGUUUAUGAGUACCCCUAUAAACACCUGUAAGUCCAAACUAUCAGUGUGCAAUUGGAGGGAAAACUUUCCCCACUGUCCCCAGCGCUGGAUUGCUCAUACUUUACCAUAUUAAUUAAUAAAUUGAUUGCUGCUUGAA
This is a long non-coding RNA of Serinus canaria (Common canary), 496 nucleotides long. RefSeq lists it as uncharacterized. Lineage: Eukaryota; Metazoa; Chordata; Aves; Passeriformes; Fringillidae. The transcript has 2 exons. The record is from RefSeq and is a predicted model, not a curated record.